GACGAACGCUGGCGGCGUGCCUAAUACAUGCAAGUUGAGCGCUGAAGGUUGGUACUUGUACCGACUGGAUGAGCAGCGAACGGGUGAGUAACGCGUGGGGAAUCUGCCUUUGAGCGGGGGACAACAUUUGGAAACGAAUGCUAAUACCGCAUAAAAACUUUAAACACAAGUUUUAAGUUUGAAAGAUGCAUUUGCAUCACUCAAAGAUGAUCCCGCGUUGUAUUAGCUAGUUGGUGAGGUAAAGGCUCACCAAGGCGAUGAUACAUAGCCGACCUGAGAGGGGGAACGGCCACAUUGGGACUGAGACACGGCCCAAACUCCUAAGGGAGGCAGCAGUAGGGAAUCUUCGGCAAUGGACGGAAGUCUGACCGAGCAACGCCGCGUGAGGGGAGAAGGGUUUCGGAUCGUAAAACUCUGUUGGUAGAGAAGAACGUUGGUGAGAGUGGAAAGCUCAUCAAGUGACGGUAACUACCCAGAAAGGGACGGCUAACUACGUG
RNAcentral lists this ribosomal RNA (497 nucleotides) under uncultured bacterium. RNAcentral describes it as "partial 16S ribosomal RNA". It matches the Rfam family "Bacterial small subunit ribosomal RNA", at positions 28 to 507 of the family's 1533-position model. The record is from RNAcentral.